UACGGGGGGAGCAAGCGUUGUUCGGAUUUACUGGGCGUAAAGGGCGGGUAGGCGGCCACUGCAAGUCGGUUGUGAAAUCUCCGGGCUUAACUCGGAAAGGUCAAUCGAUACUGCAGGGCUAGAGUGCAGAAGGGGCAACUGGAAUUCUCGGUGUAGCGGUGAAAUGCGUAGAUAUUGGGAGGAACACCGGUGGCGAAGGCGGCUACCUGGACCGGUACUGACGCUGAGACCCGAAAGCCAGGGUAGCGAACCGG
This 254-nucleotide ribosomal RNA is filed under the name uncultured bacterium. RNAcentral's name for it is "partial 16S ribosomal RNA". It matches the Rfam family "Bacterial small subunit ribosomal RNA", at positions 524 to 776 of the family's 1533-position model. The record is from RNAcentral.